UCCCUGGAGGACUAGUGGUUAGGCCUCGGUGCUCUCACCGCAGCGGCCCGGGUUCAGUUCCCAGCUAGGGAA
This is a non-coding RNA of Pangasius djambal, 72 nucleotides long. The record is from the annotation of a GenBank genome assembly. Lineage: Eukaryota; Metazoa; Chordata; Actinopteri; Siluriformes; Pangasiidae.